UGGCUGUCGUCAGCUCGUGUCGUGAGAUGUUGGGUUAAGUCCCGCAACGAGCGCAACCCUCACUUUUAGUUGCCAUCGUUUAGUUGGGCAGUCUGAAAGAACUGCCAGUGAUAAGCUGGAGGAAGGUGGGGAUGACGUCAAGUCCUCAUGGCCCUUACGUGUUGGGCUACACACGUGCUACAAUGGCAUUUACAACAGGAAGCAAAACGGCGACGUUAAGCAAAUCCUAAAAAAAUGCCUCAGUUCGGAUUGUACUCUGCAACUCGAGUACAUGAAGCUGGAAUUACUAGUAAUCACGGAAAUUGCGCGCCGGGUGUGAAUACGUUCCCGGGUCUUGUACACACGCAUCC
RNAcentral lists this ribosomal RNA (350 nucleotides) under uncultured bacterium. RNAcentral describes it as "bacterial SSU rRNA". It matches the Rfam family "Bacterial small subunit ribosomal RNA", at positions 1046 to 1395 of the family's 1533-position model. The record is from RNAcentral.